This is a long non-coding RNA of Brienomyrus brachyistius, 461 nucleotides long. RefSeq lists it as uncharacterized. The transcript is spliced from 2 exons. The record is from RefSeq and is a predicted model, not a curated record. NCBI's taxonomy places the organism in Eukaryota, Metazoa, Chordata, Actinopteri, Osteoglossiformes, Mormyridae.
AGUGCCUGCGCACCCCCGCAUCAUAGAAUACGCUUCACCUCGUUAGUCCCUAAUGGCCGCCAAGGAGGAGAGAAACCCAUCUGCCCACAACAGCAUGCCCAACUCUGCUUCCUCAUUGGAAGGUGUGUUGGUGGGAUCGAGGUCUUUGAAGACAAAGCUGUCCGGAAGUAAUUUUCCAUGGCCUCGCUAAACUCCUCCCACACCUGAGUUUUUACCUCGACGACCGCCGAAGCCGCAUUCCAACAUUUCAUCAACGCUGUCCACCAGCGGGUUCGGGGAUUGCUGCCACAACAGGCCACAGCUCCAGUCAGCUGCCUCCACAAUGGAGGCAUGGAACAAGGCCCAUUCGUACUAGUCAGUCCCCUGCGUCCUCCAGGACAUGGGAGAAGCUCUGCUGGAGAUGGGAGCUGAAUCUUCUCCUGACAUUGCAUACUUAAAAUAAAGUUUUCUUUUUCAUAUUA